AAAAUCUAACCUCAAAAUAAAGAGGUAGCCAAUCGCCAUAAGCCUAAAUUUUGUUGUUACUCAAUCUAGUCACCUAGCCAAGCAAGAAAAAUAAAAAUGCAAAAAUAAAAAAAAAAUAUUGAUUGCCCAUGCCAAAAAUUACAAGUCACCUUCAUAAUCUCCACCUAGAUAACCAAUCUUCAAUUUGUGGCCGUUGAGAAAUCGUAAGCCAAAUCCACAUAAUUUUUCUUACACUCACAACUAGUACUACUAUAAAGCUUAUCCCUUCACAUACUAUCUUCUUCAACCAAUUUUUGAAUAUAUUUAGCAAAUCAAGAAAGCUUAGUCUUUAGCUUCUUUGAUCAAGUUGUCAUCUCAGUAGUCAAGAUAAUGGCUACCUCAGUGUCAACCAUUGGAGCUGCCAACAAAGCACCGGUACUGUGUUUUUUUCUCAUCAUUCUCCUACACAUAUCAAUUUGUUUACUAAAUUUAGUAAUGAAUUCUUGUUUUUUCCUUUUAUUUUAGUUAAAAAUACUUAUGUUUCUCGGACUCUCCGGGUGCGUGUCGGAUCCUGCAUUUUUGGAGGAUCGAUUGUUCACUAAGAUUCCAGUAUUUCUUUUUUGGUCUGUCUUGAAUUAUUCCAUCUAAUUCCAUGUUAAGUUAUAAACUUGUAUCUUGAAUUUUCAAGCUUGAGGCUUUAUACUGUCAAAUUAUAUGUGAAAGACUUAGGGGUGGGAAUAGUAGCUGAAUCAUGUUAAUUUUCUCGGGCAAAUAACUGAAACUUGGAACCUUUUGUGAGUUCUUUGAUUAAGGAAUUAAGAAUAUUGAAUUUUGUAGGGGACUGGGUAAAGGGUAGCCCAGUGCAUUAAGCUCCCGUUAUGCGCGGAGUUCUGGGAAGGGCCGGACCACACGGUCUAUUGUAUGCAGCCUUACCCUGCAUUUCUACAAGAAGUUCUUUCCACGGCUCGAACCCGUGACCUAAUGGUCACAUGACAACAACUUUACCAGUUACGCCAAGGCUCCCCAUCUUGUAGAGAACUGACCAACAAAAAAAAUAAAGUUGAUGGAUAUUUGGGGGUGUUUGUGUUUUGAGUUUGAAAUAUAGGAUGCUAUAGUGAGGAUAUACUUCCCCCUAUGGUUUAUGAUUGAACCAGAAUCCGGUACUAGAAGCCAUGGUUACCUUCUUCAAGAUUUUACUACUUCCUUUGUUCCAUUUUAUAUGUCCCUCUUUUAACCUGUUCAAUAAAGAACUACACCUUUCUAUAUUUAGAAACUCUUCAACUUUCGACAUGUUCUUGUAGUGAUACAAUUGUCACGACAUGUUUUAUACCACAAGUUUUAAAAAUGCUUUUACUAUGUGCCAAAAGUCUUUAUUUCUUAAACUUUGUGCUCAAUCAAAUAUUGUUAUAUAAAAUGAAACAAAGGAAUAUGUUUCAGUGGGGUUUAAUAAGGGAACAUUCUUGAUGCAGUUGAGUUUGAACAACUCAGUUGCUGGAACUUCAGCUCCAAGCACGGCCUUCUUUGGCAAAACUUUGAAGAAAGUGUAUGCAAAAGGUAUUUCCAGCCCCAAGGUUACAAACAGGAGCUUGAGGAUUGCAGCUGAAGAAAAAGAUGCCGAUCCCA
Molecule: long non-coding RNA, 1602 nt
Filed under: Nicotiana tabacum (common tobacco)
Lineage: Eukaryota; Viridiplantae; Streptophyta; Magnoliopsida; Solanales; Solanaceae
Description: long non-coding RNA (NTAB_LNC011495)
Source: RNAcentral